RNAcentral lists this ribosomal RNA (431 nucleotides) under uncultured bacterium. Its description in RNAcentral is "partial 16S ribosomal RNA". It matches the Rfam family "Bacterial small subunit ribosomal RNA", at positions 338 to 795 of the family's 1533-position model. The record is from RNAcentral.
CCUACGGGUGGCAGCAGUAGGGAAUAUUGGGCAAUGGGCGCAAGCCUGACCCAGCCAUGCCGCGUGCAGGAAGAAGGCCUCUGGGUUGUAAACUGCUUUUGGGAGGGGACGUGUACCUCCAGAAUAAGCACCGGCUAACUCCGUGCCAGCAGCCGCGGUAAUACGGAGGGUGCAAGCGUUGUCCGGAUUUAUUGGGUUUAAAGGGUGCGUAGGCGGCCAAAUAAGUCGGGGGUGAAACCCACAGGCUUAACCUGUGGAGUGCCCUCGAUACUGUAUGGCUUGGGUUAUCUCUAGGCGGGCGGAAUGGAAGGUGUAGCGGUGAAAUGCAUAGAUAUCUACCAGAACGCCGAUAGCGAAGGCAGCUCGCUGGGGUAACCGACGCUGAGGCACGAUAGCGUGGGGAUCAAACAGGAUUAGAUACCCUAGUAGUC